UUUUGUAUUUCAAUCCCUUUGGCAGAAUCUUCAAAUGUUUUGCUUGCUGGUACAAAUCAAACCCAAUCAGCAAGUAAGGUCUGAUCCAAUGAUCUUGGUCUAAAGGAUGCAAGUGGGAAAAAACUGAAUACCAAUGGGCUGUUUGGUAAUCAGGCUAGUAUUGAAAAUGUUUCCAUCAACUGCUUUGAAAUACUCUAUGUGCG
RNAcentral lists this unclassified non-coding RNA (203 nucleotides) under Hevea brasiliensis (rubber tree). The record is from RNAcentral. Lineage: Eukaryota; Viridiplantae; Streptophyta; Magnoliopsida; Malpighiales; Euphorbiaceae.